Molecule: ribosomal RNA, 450 nt
Filed under: uncultured bacterium
Lineage: Bacteria
Description: partial 16S ribosomal RNA
Rfam family: Bacterial small subunit ribosomal RNA
Source: RNAcentral
CCUACGGGCGGCUGCAGUAAGGAAUAUUGGUCAAUGGACGGAAGUCUGAACCAGCCAUCCCGCGUGCAGGAAGAAGGUCCUAUGGAUUGUAAACUGCUUUUAGCAGAGACGAAACGCCUUCAUUUAUGGGGGUUUGACGGUAUCUGCGGAAUAAGCACCGGCUAACUCCGUGCCAGCAGCCGCGGUAAUACGGAGGGUGCCAGCGUUAUCCGGAAUCACUGGGGUUUAAGGGGGCGUUUACGGCGGUUUAGAAAGCCUGUAGCUUAACUACAGAAUUGCCAUUGAUACUGAUUUUCUUGAAUUGGGUUGAGGUUAGCGGAAUGUGACAUGUAACGGUGAAAUGUUUAGAUAUGUCAUGGAACACCGAUUGCGAAGGCAGCUAGCUGGGCCUUGAUUGACGCUGAGGCACGAAAGCGUGGGUAGCGAACAGGAUUAGAUACCCUGGGAGUC